GAUGAAGAACGUAGCGAAAUGCGAUAAGUAAUGUGAAUUGCAGAAUUCAGUGAAUCAUCGAAUCUUUGAACGCACAUUGCGCCAGCCAGUAUUCUGGCGGGCAUGCCUGUUCGAGCGUCAUUACAACCCUCAGGCCCCCGGGCCUGGCGUUGGGGAUCGGCGGAAGCCCCCUGCGGGCACAACGCCGUCCCCCAAAUACAGUGGCGGUCCCGCCGCAGCUUCCAUUGCGUAGUAGCUAACACCUCGCAACUGGAGAGCGGCGCGGCCACGCCGUAAAACACCCAACUUCUGAAUGUUGACCUCGAAUCAGGUAGGAAUACCCGCUGAACUUAAGCAUAUCAAUAAGCGGAGGA
This 353-nucleotide unclassified non-coding RNA is filed under the name soil metagenome. RNAcentral describes it as "partial contains 5.8S ribosomal RNA, internal transcribed spacer 2, and large subunit ribosomal RNA". The stretch from base 1 to 120 matches the Rfam family "5.8S ribosomal RNA", at positions 35 to 154 of the family's 154-position model. The record is from RNAcentral.